CAGCACAGAAUGCCACGACACAGCAUGGAAUGGCACGGAAUGGCACAGAAUUGCAUGGUGCAGCACGGCAGGGCAUGGCACAGCAUGGAAUGGCACAGCAUGGCCAAGAAACCUGGCAUGGCACGGCGCAAUACGGCACGGCACAGCACACGGCCAGGCAUCCCUACAUGGCUUGGCAUGGUACGGCACGGCACAGCACGGCUUGGCAUGGCACGGCACAGCAUGGCACACAGCCAGGCAUCCUUACACGGCACGGCAUGGCACAACCUGGCACGGCACGGCAUGAUACCGCACGGCACAGUGUAGCACAUGGCCGGGCAUCCCUACACGGCAUGGCACGGCAUGGCAUGGCACGGCACAUGGCUAGGCAUCCUUACUCAGCAUGGCACGGCGCAACCUGGCAUGGCACGGCAUGAUACGGCACAGCAUGGCACAUGGCCAGGCAUCUCUAUGUGGCACGGCACUGCAUGGCACAACCUGGCACGGCACGGCAUGGCUCAACCUGGCACGGCACAGCAUGGCACAUGGCCAGGCAUCUCUACAUGGCACGGCACUGCAUGGCACAACCUGGCACGGCACGGCAUGGCACAACCUGGCACAGCACAGCAUGGCACAUGGCCAGGCAUCCCUACACGGCACGGCACGGCACGGCAUGGCACAACCUGGCACGGCACGGCACGGCACAUGGCCAGGCAUCUCUACGUGGCAUGGCACUGCAUGGCACAACCUGGCAUGGCAUGGCACAGCUCACCAUGGCACAGCACGGCACAUGGCCAGGCAUCUCUACGUGGCAUGGCACGGCAAGGCACAACCUGGCACGGCAUGGCACGGCACAGCUUGGCACGGCACAGCAUGGCACACGGCCAGGCAUGGCAUGGCACAACCUGGCACGGCACGGCACAUGGCCAGGCAUCCCUACACGGCACGGCACGGCAUGGCACAGCACGGCAUGGCACGGCACAACCUGGCAUGGCACGGCACGGCAUGGCACAUGGCCAUCAACCCUUACACGGCACGGCAUGGCACGGCAUGGCACGGCACGGCACCCCCGCAGCGCCCCCUCCAGCACCCCCCCU
This 1076-nucleotide long non-coding RNA is filed under the name Anas platyrhynchos platyrhynchos (common mallard). RNAcentral describes it as "lncRNA (ENSAPLG00000027792.1)". Lineage: Eukaryota; Metazoa; Chordata; Aves; Anseriformes; Anatidae. The record is from RNAcentral.